CCUACGGGUGGCUGCAGUGAGGAAUAUUGGUCAAUGGACGAGAGUCUGAACCAGCCAAGUAGCGUGAAGGAUGACUGCCCUAUGGGUUGUAAACUUCUUUUAUAUAGGAAUAAAGUGAUCCACGUGUGGGAUUUUGUAUGUACUAUAUGAAUAAGGAUCGGCUAACUCCGUGCCAGCAGCCGCGGUAAUACGGAGGAUACGAGCGUUAUCCGGAUUUAUUGGGUUUAAAGGGAGCGUAGGUGGAUUGUUAAGUCAGUGGUGAAAGGUUGCGGAUCAACCGUAAAAUUGCAGUUGAUAGUGGCAGUCUUGAGUACAGUAGAGGUGAGCGGAAUUCGUGGUGUAGCGGUGAAAUGCUUAGAUAUCACGAAGAACUCCGAUUGCGAAGGCAGCUUACUGGACUGCCACUGACACUGAGGCUCGAAAGUGUGGGUAUCAAACAGGAUUAGAUACCCCUGUAGUC
RNAcentral lists this ribosomal RNA (460 nucleotides) under uncultured bacterium. Its description in RNAcentral is "partial 16S ribosomal RNA". It matches the Rfam family "Bacterial small subunit ribosomal RNA", at positions 338 to 795 of the family's 1533-position model. The record is from RNAcentral.